Molecule: non-coding RNA, 1482 nt
Organism: Macaca mulatta (Rhesus monkey)
Lineage: Eukaryota; Metazoa; Chordata; Mammalia; Primates; Cercopithecidae
Source: RefSeq, a predicted model, not a curated record
GGCGGGGCGGUUACUAACGCUUUAGCAAGCCGCGAAGAUAGGGGGCGGGGAAGGAGGACGUGUACCCCUCCCUCAUUCACUGCACCACCGCGAGGGAGAGUGGGGGGCUACAAGGGGGCGGAGAGAAGAGUCCAGACGUCCCACAUCCUGAGGGCGAGUUACGGCCUCGUGGAGGGCAGCAAAAGUAAUUGCAUGGGUCAGGAAAAUCUCGAUGUCGGAAAACGGUACAGAUAUUUACGUGAACUCAUUACCUUCCCACCCCCAUCCCAUCCCAUCGACUCUGUGCCGUAUCCUGAACCGGCUGACAGAACAAUGGUGCAGACUUGACUUGUGUUCGCCAACCUGGAAUGAAGCAAAGUUCUUGGGCACCCAAGAUAGUGAGGGUGUUGACAUUGAGAGUGUGUUGGAUUGGAGUUAGAAGUGUUUAUUCCUCUCACUACUGGAACCAGAAAGGAACUAAGGAUCCGGCAAGCACUAAAAAGACCAAGGUCAGGCAGGCCAGGGGCCAGGAAUAAACCCUCCACCGCAGAUCAUCUUUGCCACAGGUAUAUAAGUUUCCAGCUGUUAAAUGACUAGCCGGAAUGCACCUUGCUAAACAGAGAACGUCUUCACUGUCCCAUUUUCCCCAAAUCAUGACUUCAAACACCUGAUGGGCAGCACUGAGCUCUGGAAUCAGGCAAACCUGAAAAAAAAAGCAAUUCCACCACUUUUCAGCUUUGUUACGUGCAGACCGGUUAAUCUGUCCUCAGUUUCCCCACUUUUAAAUUGGGGAUCCAACCAUGCCCGCCCCACAAGGUUGUUAGCGGCGGCGGGAGAAUAAAAGAACAAGGAAAGCCCUUGCGCGGAGCCCGACACACAGCCCACAGCACGCCGCCAGCUCCGACUAGGAGAACCGGUUCCCGACCGGCGAGCGCGGCAGGGCGCCUGCGCCACCGCAGCCCUGCGCAUGCCCACUGCCUCCCGCCGGCUUCCCCCAGGUGCGCGAGUUCUCAGGCUCGUGGGUUCCGGGACGCCGCGCGCCGCUGCAUGCCCGGCUUCCGGCUCCCACUAUCUGGGCGGGGCGGCCGGCUGCCGCGAGAUGACGUCACCGCGUGGGCGGGCGCGGCGGACUACUUCCUCGCGUGGCCCUGGAAUGUUGGGACUGACCCAGCAGGGUGGUCCAGUCUGUUUCGAUUGCUCUUGAUGGUGAAGCCCCUCGGAGAGCUGCCUUUGGUGGAAACCCUGUUAGGUACCAAGUUUUCCCACUGACCGUCCACGGACGCUAACAAGAGACUCGAGGUGCUGAGAACUUUGGAAACACCUCUCAAGUGAUAUAGACAAUGUGAUGGCUCCAUUCCAUCAAUGAAGCCCUAGCAUAAAAAUGGGGUCCUCACAUUGUUUGAUAAAGCGCUAGGAAUAGAAGUGACACUGUGAAAGUAACUUAUUAGCAAGACCCUUGCUCCCUAAACCCAAUAAAGCAUGAGGUAGUCCUCAAGUGGUGUA